GACGAACGCUGGCGGCGUGCUUAACACAUGCAAGUCGAACGGAAAGGCCCUGCUUUUGUGGGGUGCUCGAGUGGCGAACGGGUGAGUAACACGUGAGUAACCUGCCCUUGACUUUGGGAUAACUUCAGGAAACUGGGGCUAAUACCGGAUAGGAGCUCCUGCUGCAUGGUGGGGGUUGGAAAGUUUCGGCGGUUGGGGAUGGACUCGCGGCUUAUCAGCUUGUUGGUGGGGUAGUGGCUUACCAAGUCUUUGACGGGUAGCCGGCCUGAGAGGGGGACCGGCGACAUGGGGCCUGAGAUACGGCCCAGAGGCCUACGGGAGGCAGCAGUGGGGAAUAUGGCACAAUGGGCGGAAGCCUGAUGCAGCAACGCCGCGUGCGGGAUGACGGCCUUCGGGUUGUAAACCGCUUUCGCCUGUGACGAAGCGUGAGUGACGGUAAUGGGUAAAGAAGCACCGGCUAACUACGUG
RNAcentral lists this ribosomal RNA (468 nucleotides) under uncultured bacterium. RNAcentral describes it as "partial 16S ribosomal RNA". It matches the Rfam family "Bacterial small subunit ribosomal RNA", at positions 28 to 507 of the family's 1533-position model. The record is from RNAcentral.